This 64-nucleotide transfer RNA is filed under the name Tritonia tetraquetra. RNAcentral's name for it is "tRNA-Arg". Lineage: Eukaryota; Metazoa; Mollusca; Gastropoda; Nudibranchia; Tritoniidae. The record is from RNAcentral.
UACUUGAAAGCGAAUUAUCGCGCUAAGUUUCGGCCUUAGUCUUGAGACUCUUUCUCUUAAGUAU